UACGUAGGGGGCAAGCGUUGUCCGGAAUCAUUGGGCGUGAAGCGCGCGUAGGCGGCCCGGUAAGUCCGCUCUGAAAGUCCAGGGCUCAACCCUGGAAAGCGGGUGGAUACUGCCGGGCUAGAAUCCGGAAGAGGCGAGUGGAAUUCCUGGUGUAGCGGUGGAAUGCGCAGAUAUCAGGAGGAACACCAAUAGCGAAGGCAGCUCGCUGGGACGGUAUUGACGCUAAGGCGCGAAGGCGUGGGGAGCAAACAGG
This 253-nucleotide ribosomal RNA is filed under the name uncultured bacterium. RNAcentral's name for it is "partial 16S ribosomal RNA". It matches the Rfam family "Bacterial small subunit ribosomal RNA", at positions 524 to 776 of the family's 1533-position model. The record is from RNAcentral.